UUGGCAGAGUAGCGGACUUUUAAUCCGCGAGUUCCGGGUUCAAGUCCCGGU
This 51-nucleotide transfer RNA is filed under the name Caudoviricetes sp. RNAcentral's name for it is "tRNA-OTHER". It matches the Rfam family "tRNA", at positions 16 to 64 of the family's 71-position model. Rfam says of the family: Transfer RNA (tRNA) molecules are approximately 80 nucleotides in length. Their secondary structure includes four short double-helical elements and three loops (D, anti-codon, and T loops). Further hydrogen bonds mediate the characteristic L-shaped molecular structure. tRNAs have two regions of fundamental functional importance: the anti-codon, which is responsible for specific mRNA codon recognition, and the 3' end, to which the tRNAs corresponding amino acid is attached (by aminoacyl-tRNA synthetases). tRNAs cope with the degeneracy of the genetic code in two manners: having more than one tRNA (with a specific anti-codon) for a particular amino acid; and 'wobble' base-pairing, i.e. permitting non-standard base-pairing at the 3rd anti-codon position. Lineage: Duplodnaviria; Heunggongvirae; Uroviricota; Caudoviricetes. The record is from RNAcentral.